RNAcentral lists this microRNA precursor (100 nucleotides) under Punica granatum (pomegranate). Its description in RNAcentral is "MIR394 microRNA precursor family". It matches the Rfam family "MIR394 microRNA precursor family". Lineage: Eukaryota; Viridiplantae; Streptophyta; Magnoliopsida; Myrtales; Lythraceae. The record is from Rfam by way of RNAcentral.
CUCACAGAGCUUGUUGGCAUUCUGUCCACCUCCUUCUUCUUCACCGAACCUUCUCCGUGAGCGGUGGAGGUGGGUGGAUUGCCAAGGAAAGCUCUGUGAG